AUAGUUGGUUUAAAUACCUUAUAAAUGGAUUUAGAGGAAUCCUAGCAUGCUAUCUAGAUGAAUGAUACUUGAUUCAUGAAGGAAUUUGGUGGAUUUUUAUCUAGUUGCAACUUAGGGCUUCAAAAUGGGAUUUUUGUAAAUGUGAGGGUUUGAUCUCAUUUGACCCUCUGUAAACCUAAUUGAUAGGUCACUGAACACGUUGGAAGCGACGGUUCGGCGAUUCGUCGAGCCGGUGCAAAGUUAUUAAAGAAACGGACGUUUAGGCUUCGUUUCCGCCUGGAGGGCCGAGGCGACGUCGUAAAAUCCUGAAAACGGAUUUGAAGCAUCGUAACAAGAAACCGAAGACCUUUAAUUUUUGGAUCGCGGAUCGGAGGUCGUUUGGUGGUCGCGCGCGGAUUGGGUCAAGCCGAGCGGCGUGCGCCGCGGGAGGCUGAUUGCGAGUGACGACGAGCAAUCGGAACGCGAUAAAAGGUGGGGGGUGUCUAUUCCGAAGCAACUGAGCUUCUUCCUAUGUCUUAGUACUUUAUCAAUUUGUAUAAAGUAUAUUGUAUGUUGCUACGCUUUAUAGGAUGACAAUACAUGCAUUCCUAAUCCUUGUAUGAUGUUUAUGAUCAAUAUAGUAUUAUGAUAUGGAUAUAUGAUGUAAUGGACAUAAGGAUUAUGAGAUGACAUCGGUAAACCUAUGAUGCUAAAUGAAAUAAGAACCUAGUAUUGUAUUUAAAGACAUAGUUUACAAGUGGCAUUGAACUCAUUGUGCUAAAAACACAUAUGACUUGAACUUAGUAAUGGAUUGGUUGUUGUACUAGAAACUCUAGUUAACAUUGAUCAAGUUGCAUAUUGGGAUAUUGCAUUAUAGGGUACUAGUUGGCAAUUGUUACAUGUCAUGGCAUGCUAGUGGGAGUGUAGUGUUACUUGAUUAAUAUUUGUACCUAGUAUGCAUGAGAUUGGGACUUAGUGUGGUGAAACCCUAUAAGGGCAUGAUUAAUGUGGAUUAAACUUUAGUUGAGUACAUUAAUCGAUCAAGUUGCAUAUUGUAUUUAUUGCAUAUAGGUGCUAGAUGAUUAUGGUUAUUGCUUAUAUUUGCAUGCUAGUAGCUAUACAUCUUGAUGAUUGAUCCAUGAUCUAGUAUGCAUGAGAACCUAGACCCUAUAUGUGAUGAUUAAUAUUUAUGUGAUUAAAGAAUUAGUAUGACGAAACUAGUGUUAAAAGUGGCAUCUAGUUUAGAAAACUAUGACAAGUGGCAUCUAGUCAUAGAAAACUAUGAUGUGAGGCAUAUGAUUGUUGAUGACCUUGACAUGAGAACAUUAGUGUAGUUGUGACAUUAUGAGAUUGGGUACAAGAACACCUUGAUUCCAUGAUGAGAUUACCCUUAGAGGGUAGGUUGCUGAUGUUCGUGAGUUGAUCGUGCUCACAUAGCCUGUCUGCGCUUGGAGGGGUCGCUCCCCAUAAGCUGUGCACUCCGGAGGUUGGUCACUAGAGGGACAGUCAGUGUGCUGUCUGGACGGUCUGUGUGCUGUUCGCAGGCGGUCUCGGGAAAUAGUUCAGUGAGACUUUCCCCUAUGAGACUUACACGUGAGAUAUGUUCGUGAACCCCGAGUUCACCAUGAGAUUUGGUUACCUAUUGAGUCAUACUCAUUAUCGUUGUUCAUGAUAGCUCGUUUCCAUAGUUGUUGUGUUGUUCAUAGUAGCUUACUAGUGUUCAUAGUAGCUUACUUAUUGCUCAUGCAUUCAUGAUAUACUAUUCCUUCACCUAUGAGAUUUGAGUGGAGUAACCUUGUACCUAGUAGGUCGAGAUGUGAGUCGGGCAAAGUGCGGGGUAGCCUUUGCCUAGGACUUUGAGAUGUGAGUCGGGCAAGGAGUGGGGUAGCUCUUCGCCUAGGACCUUCGAGAUUGAGUCAGACCUUGAGAUGUGAGUCGGGCGAGGAGCGGGGUAGCUCUUUGCUCAGGACCCUUAAGACAUGAAUCGAAUAAGACAAGAAUGAGGUAGCUUUUCACCUACUAGAUUUGAGAUCUUAGGCAAAGUAGCCUAGUGGAUUGGGCAAUAAUGUGAAUAGCAUAAGUGGAUUGCAUUCAUACCAUGAUUAGACAUAGUGCAUUGCAUAACUAUGUUAUAGUUGUAUUCAUUUCACUGUUGAGGCAUAUUAGCAUGAUAGUAGAUUGUUGCUAGAUGAUAAUCCAUACACUUCUUUCAUUUGAUGGCAUAGUAGAUAUAGUAGCAGUUUAUUUCCGUAUAUCUUUCUAUCUAUCUAUCUGUGCCAGCUUGGACCUAGUGGGAAGAUCGGCGGAGUCGGCGGCCGAACCCACUGGGAACUAUAUUUAUAUAGUUCUCACCCCGUCUGGUUUUAGGGUACAGGUACAUACGAGAGCGGACCGGCAGAUGAUCGCGGCAAGGGCUUAGCGCCCUAGUGCUAGUUGGUAGUUUACUUUCCUAUUUUGCAUUAG
RNAcentral lists this long non-coding RNA (2442 nucleotides) under Ananas comosus (pineapple). RNAcentral's name for it is "long non-coding RNA (ACOM_LNC010269)". Lineage: Eukaryota; Viridiplantae; Streptophyta; Magnoliopsida; Poales; Bromeliaceae. The record is from RNAcentral.